This 72-nucleotide transfer RNA is filed under the name Melopsittacus undulatus (budgerigar). RNAcentral's name for it is "tRNA-His (GTG) (tRNA-His-GTG-3-1)". It matches the Rfam family "tRNA". Rfam says of the family: Transfer RNA (tRNA) molecules are approximately 80 nucleotides in length. Their secondary structure includes four short double-helical elements and three loops (D, anti-codon, and T loops). Lineage: Eukaryota; Metazoa; Chordata; Aves; Psittaciformes; Psittaculidae. The record is from Rfam by way of RNAcentral.
GCUGUGAUCGUAUAGUGGUUAGUACUCUGCGUUGUGGCCGCAGAAACCUCGGUUCGAAUUCGAGUCACGGCA